Rhodocollybia butyracea is the source of this 67-nucleotide non-coding RNA. The record is from the annotation of a GenBank genome assembly. NCBI's taxonomy places the organism in Eukaryota, Fungi, Basidiomycota, Agaricomycetes, Agaricales, Omphalotaceae.
UCCGGUAUGGUGUAAUGGCUAACAUUAUCGCCACUCAUGCUGUGGGGUUCGAUUCCCCAUGUCGGAA